This is a non-coding RNA of Xylaria acuta, 90 nucleotides long. The record is from the annotation of a GenBank genome assembly. Lineage: Eukaryota; Fungi; Ascomycota; Sordariomycetes; Xylariales; Xylariaceae.
GGUGCGAUGGCCGAGUGGUUAAGGCGACAGACUUAAGUUACAAGAGUUCUGUUGACGAGAGUCGCGCGAGUUCGAACCUCGCUCGCAUCA